UAGUCUUUUUCCUUUGUUAUGUGAAAAACAAUUGUGUUUUGACACCAAUACUCUGUUCUCUUCUAGAAUCUGGUUUGAAAACGGAAACAAUUGCUGGCAUCAUCAUUGGCGCAGCGUUGGCCUUUGUGUUGGUCAUUAUUGUGGUUGUCAUGAUGUACAAAAUAUUUUCCUCUCCAGCAAAGAAGGAAGAGACAAGUACGUACAAGCAGGAGAAGGAUCAAACCUGCAAAGAAAUCCCAGAGGAGGAGUUAUACGCAAAUGGGGAUUUCUACGAACAAGACAAUGUAUACGAAUGAUGAUAUCCAAAAAGUUUGGAUUUUUAAAUAACAAUUUUA
This is a long non-coding RNA of Rana temporaria (common frog), 335 nucleotides long. RefSeq lists it as uncharacterized. The record is from RefSeq and is a predicted model, not a curated record. Lineage: Eukaryota; Metazoa; Chordata; Amphibia; Anura; Ranidae. The transcript has 3 exons.